RNAcentral lists this ribosomal RNA (522 nucleotides) under uncultured bacterium. RNAcentral's name for it is "bacterial SSU rRNA". It matches the Rfam family "Bacterial small subunit ribosomal RNA", at positions 14 to 518 of the family's 1533-position model. The record is from RNAcentral.
CGAUCUGGCUCAGGACGAACGCUGGCGGCGUGCCUAAUACAUGCAAGUCGAGCGGAAAUUUAUUGGUGCUUGCACCUUAAAUUUAGCGGCGGACGGGUGAGUAACACGUGGGUAACCUACCUUAUAGUUUGGGAUAACUCCGGGAAACCGGGGCUAAUACCGAAUAAUACUUUUAAACACAUGUUUGGAAGUUGAAAGACGGUUUCGGCUGUCACUAUAAGAUGGACCCGCGGCGCAUUAGCUAGUUGGUGAGGUAACGGCUCACCAAGGCAACGAUGCGUAGCCGACCUGAGAGGGUGAUCGGCCACACUGGGACUGAGACACGGCCCAGACUCCUACGGGAGGCAGCAGUAGGGAAUCUUCCACAAUGGACGAAAGUCUGAUGGAGCAACGCCGCGUGAGUGAAGGAGGAUUUCGGUUCGUAAAACUCUGUUGCAAGGGAAGAACAAGUAGCGUAGUAACUGGCGCUACCUUGACGGUACCUUGUUAGAAAGCCACGGCUAACUACGUGCCAGCAGCGGC